CACUAUCGUUAACUGAAUACAUAGGUUAACGAGGCGAACCGGGGGAACUGAAACAUCUAAGUACCCCGAGGAAAAGAAAUCAACCGAGAUUCCCCCAGUAGCGGCGAGCGAACGGGGAGCAGCCCAGAGUCUGAAUCAGCUUGUGUGUUAGUGGAACGGUCUGGAAAGUCCGACGGUACAGGGUGAUAGUCCCGUACACCAAAAUGCACAGGCUGUGAACUCGAAGAGUAGGGCGGGACACGUGGUAUCCUGUCUGAAUAUGGGGGGACCAUCCUCCAAGGCUAAAUACUCCUGACUGACCGAUAGUGAACCAGUACCGUGAGGGAAAGGCGAAAAGAACCCCGGCGAGGGGAGUGAAAAAGAACCUGAAACCGUGUACGUACAAGCAGUGGGAGCACCUUCGGGUGUGACUGCGUACCUUUUGUAUAAUGGGUCAGCGACUUAUAUUCUGUAGCAAGGUUAACCGUAUAGGGGAGCCGCAGGGAAACCGAGUCUUAACUGGGCGUUAAGUUGCAGGGUAUAGACCCGAAACCCGGUGAUCUAGCCAUGGGCAGGUUGAAGGUUGGGUAACACUAACUGGAGGACCGAACCGACUAAUGUUGAAAAAUUAGCGGAUGACUUGUGGCUGGGGGUGAAAGGCCAAUCAAACCGGGAGAUAGCUGGUUCUCCCCGAAAGCUAUUUAGGUAGCGCCUCGUGAAUUCAUCUUCGGGGGUAGAGCACUGUUUCGGCUAGGGGGUCAUCCCGACUUACCAACCCGAUGCAAACUACGAAUACCGAAGAAUGUUAUCACGGGAGACACACGGCGGGUGCUAACGUCCGUCGUGAAGAGGGAAACAACCCAGACCGCCAGCUAAGGUCCCAAAGUCAUGGUUAAGUGGGAAACGAUGUGGGAAGGCACAGACAGCCAGGAUGUUGGCUUAGAAGCAGCCAUCAUUUAAAGAAAGCGUAAUAGCUCACUGGUCGAGUCGGCCUGCGCGGAAGAUGUAACGGGGCUAAACCAUGCACCGAAGCUGCGGCAGCGACACUAUGUGUUGUUGGGUAGGGGAGCGUUCUGUAAGCCUGCGAAGGUGUGCUGUGAGGCAUGCUGGAGGUAUCAGAAGUGCGAAUGCUGACAUAAGUAACGAUAAAGCGGGUGAAAAGCCCGCUCGCCGGAAGACCAAGGGUUCCUGUCCAACGUUAAUCGGGGCAGGGUGAGUCGACCCCUAAGGCGAGGCCGAAAGGCGUAGUCGAUGGGAAACAGGUUAAUAUUCCUGUACUUGGUGUUACUGCGAAGGGGGGACGGAGAAGGCUAUGUUAGCCGGGCGACGGUUGUCCCGGUUUAAGCAUGUAGGCUGGUUGUCCAGGCAAAUCCGGAUAAUCAAGGCUGAGGUGUGAUGACGAGGCACUACGGUGCUGAAGUAACAAAUGCCCUGCUUCCAGGAAAAGCCUCUAAGCAUCAGGUAACAUUANNNNNNNNNNNNNNNNNNNNNNNNNNNNNNNNNNNNNNNNNNNNNNNNNNNNNNNNNNNNNNNNNNNNNNNNNNNNNNNNNNNNNNNNNNNNNNNNNCAAAUCGUACCCCAAACCGACACAGGUGGUCAGGUAGAGAAUACCAAGGCGCUUGAGAGAACUCGGGUGAAGGAACUAGGCAAAAUGGUGCCGUAACUUCGGGAGAAGGCACGCUGGUGUGUAGGUGAAGUCCCUGCGGAUGGAGCUGAGACCAGUCGAAGAUACCAGCUGGCUGCAACUGUUUAUUAAAAACACAGCACUGUGCAAACACGAAAGUGGACGUAUACGGUGUGACGCCUGCCCGGUGCCGGAAGGUUAAUUGAUGGGGUUAUCCGUAAGGAGAAGCUCUUGAUCGAAGCCCCGGUAAACGGCGGCCGUAACUAUAACGGUCCUAAGGUAGCGAAAUUCCUUGUCGGGUAAGUUCCGACCUGCACGAAUGGCGUAAUGAUGGCCAGGCUGUCUCCACCCGAGACUCAGUGAAAUUGAACUCGCUGUGAAGAUGCAGUGUACCCGCGGCAAGACGGAAAGACCCCGUGAACCUUUACUAUAGCUUGACACUGAACAUUGAGCCUUGAUGUGUAGGAUAGGUGGGAGGCUUUGAAGCGUGGACGCCAGUCUGCGUGGAGCCAACCUUGAAAUACCACCCUUUAAUGUUUGAUGUUCUAACGUUGGCCCCUGACCGGGGUUGCGGACAGUGUCUGGUGGGUAGUUUGACUGGGGCGGUCUCCUCCCAAAGCGUAACGGAGGAGCACGAAGGUUAGCUAAUCCUGGUCGGACAUCAGGAGGUUAGUGCAAUGGCAUAAGCUAGCUUGACUGCGAGCGUGACGGCGCGAGCAGGUGCGAAAGCAGGUCAUAGUGAUCCGGUGGUUCUGAAUGGAAGGGCCAUCGCUCAACGGAUAAAAGGUACUCCGGGGAUAACAGGCUGAUACCGCCCAAGAGUUCAUAUCGACGGCGGUGUUUGGCACCUCGAUGUCGGCUCAUCACAUCCUGGGGCUGAAGUAGGUCCCAAGGGUAUGGCUGUUCGCCAUUUAAAGUGGUACGCGAGCUGGGUUUAGAACGUCGUGAGACAGUUCGGUCCCUAUCUGCCGUGGGCGCUGGAGAAUUGAGGGGGGCUGCUCCUAGUACGAGAGGACCGGAGUGGACGCAUCACUGGUGUUCGGGUUGUCAUGCCAAUGGCACUGCCCGGUAGCUAAAUGCGGAAGAGAUAAGUGCUGAAAGCAUCUAAGCACGAAACUUGCCCCGAGAUGAGUUCUCCCUGAGACUUUAAGUCUCCUGAAGGAACGUUGAAGACGACGACGUUGAUAGGCCGGGUGUGUAAGCGCAGCGAUGCGUUGAGCUAACCGGUACUAAUGAACCGUGAGGCUUAACCUUACAACGCCGAAG
RNAcentral lists this ribosomal RNA (2869 nucleotides) under Klebsiella pneumoniae. Its description in RNAcentral is "partial 23S ribosomal RNA". It matches the Rfam family "Bacterial large subunit ribosomal RNA". Lineage: Bacteria; Pseudomonadati; Pseudomonadota; Gammaproteobacteria; Enterobacterales; Enterobacteriaceae. The record is from RNAcentral.